GCCAGCAUGGUGUAGUGGUUGGAGUGCUGACUACAACUCUGGAGACCAGGGUUUGAUUCCCUGGUCGAGCA
Phrynosoma platyrhinos (Desert horned lizard) is the source of this 71-nucleotide non-coding RNA. Lineage: Eukaryota; Metazoa; Chordata; Lepidosauria; Squamata; Phrynosomatidae. The record is from the annotation of a GenBank genome assembly.